RNAcentral lists this transfer RNA (73 nucleotides) under Felis catus (domestic cat). It matches the Rfam family "tRNA". From Rfam's summary of the family: Transfer RNA (tRNA) molecules are approximately 80 nucleotides in length. Lineage: Eukaryota; Metazoa; Chordata; Mammalia; Carnivora; Felidae. The record is from Rfam by way of RNAcentral.
GCCUGCCUGGCUCAGUCCGUAGAGCAUUGGAGUCUCGAUCUCGGGGGUGUGGGUUCAAGCCCCACAUCAGGCA